This 190-nucleotide unclassified non-coding RNA is filed under the name plant metagenome. RNAcentral's name for it is "partial contains small subunit ribosomal RNA, internal transcribed spacer 1, and 5.8S ribosomal RNA". The record is from RNAcentral.
UUUCCGUAGGUGAACCUGCGGAAGGAUCAUUACCGAGCUCCUGCCCUUCGGGGUAGAGACGCCACACUUGCGUCACCGACAGUUGUUGCUUUGGCGGUCCCGCCCGCCAGAGACCCCAAACCAUGAGUGUUAGUGUCGUCGGAGUACUAUACAAUAGUUAAAACUUUCAGCAACGGAUCUCUUGGUUCUG